This 85-nucleotide transfer RNA is filed under the name Sphingomonas sanxanigenens. Its description in RNAcentral is "tRNA-Leu". It matches the Rfam family "tRNA". Rfam says of the family: Transfer RNA (tRNA) molecules are approximately 80 nucleotides in length. Their secondary structure includes four short double-helical elements and three loops (D, anti-codon, and T loops). Further hydrogen bonds mediate the characteristic L-shaped molecular structure. tRNAs have two regions of fundamental functional importance: the anti-codon, which is responsible for specific mRNA codon recognition, and the 3' end, to which the tRNAs corresponding amino acid is attached (by aminoacyl-tRNA synthetases). tRNAs cope with the degeneracy of the genetic code in two manners: having more than one tRNA (with a specific anti-codon) for a particular amino acid; and 'wobble' base-pairing, i.e. permitting non-standard base-pairing at the 3rd anti-codon position. RNAcentral also lists the same sequence under 14 other names. Lineage: Bacteria; Pseudomonadati; Pseudomonadota; Alphaproteobacteria; Sphingomonadales; Sphingomonadaceae. The record is from RNAcentral.
GCGGGCGUGGUGAAACUGGUAGACGCGCCGGACUCAAAAUCCGGUUCCGCAAGGAGUGUCGGUUCGAGCCCGACCGCCCGCACCA